This 627-nucleotide ribosomal RNA is filed under the name uncultured bacterium. RNAcentral describes it as "bacterial SSU rRNA". It matches the Rfam family "Bacterial small subunit ribosomal RNA", at positions 21 to 693 of the family's 1533-position model. The record is from RNAcentral.
GGCUCAGAACGAACGCUGGCGGCAGGCCUAACACAUGCAAGUCGAACGGGUGCCUUCGGGCACUAGUGGCGGACGGGUGAGUAACGCGUGGGAACGUGCCCUUUGGUUCGGAAUAGCCUCGGGAAACUGGGAGUAAUACCGGAUAAGCCCUUCGGGGGAAAGAUUUAUCGCCAAAGGAUCGGCCCGCGUUGGAUUAGGUAGUUGGUGGGGUAAUGGCCUACCAAGCUGACGAUCCAUAGCUGGUUUGAGAGGAUGAUCAGCCACACUGGGACCGAGACACGGCCCAGACUCCUACGGGAGGCAGCAGUGGGGAAUCUUAGACAAUGGGGGAAACCCUGAUCUAGCCAUGCCGCGUGAUCGAUGAAGGCCUUAGGGUUGUAAAGAUCUUUCAGUGGGAAGAUAAUGACGGUACCCACAGGAGAAGCCCCGGCUAACUCCGUGCCAGCAGCCGCGGUAAUACGGAGGGGGCUAGCGUUGUUCGGAAUUACUGGGCGUAAAGCGCACGUAGGCGGACCGGAAAGUCAGAGGUGAAAUCCCAGGGCUCAACCUUGGAACUGCCUUUGAAACUCCUGGUCUUGAGGUCGAGAGAGGUGAGUGGAAUUCCGAGUGUAGAGGUGAAAUUCGUAG